GGCCCGAACACACAUGAAUCCGCUUCUGUCAUUUGCGAUAAUACACCACAGGUGAAAUGCAAAUUACUUGAGGAUUAUUAUCAAGUAGUUUGAAAAUCCAGCUUGUCACAUUUCAAAUUAUCUGAAGAAAUGCAGUUCUCAAUUUGAUCCUUCAUAAACUUGAGCAUGCAUGACAAGCAUAAAAAGAAUAAUAGUGCAUUUGCUCCAGCAUGUCGUU
This 217-nucleotide long non-coding RNA is filed under the name Mytilus galloprovincialis (Mediterranean mussel). The record is from RNAcentral. Lineage: Eukaryota; Metazoa; Mollusca; Bivalvia; Mytilida; Mytilidae.